Molecule: long non-coding RNA, 760 nt
Filed under: Panax ginseng (ginseng)
Lineage: Eukaryota; Viridiplantae; Streptophyta; Magnoliopsida; Apiales; Araliaceae
Description: long non-coding RNA (PGIN_LNC018929)
Source: RNAcentral
UCGCUUUGCGAGACAUUUCUGUCCCAUCUCUCUCGCACUUACACACGGUACAGAGCUGUGCAGCAUCGGAGACGGAGAGCAGUGGCCAUGGACGACCUUCCAAUUGUGAAGAUACAAAUAUCGGGACCCACACUCUCCUCUCUCAUCCAUCGCGUCUCCUCCGCCUCCGGUGACAUAGACGGCCUCCUCUUUGGCUCAGUAUCCUAUAUUACUCCUUCCAAUCUCUCCGAUGAUUCCUCCUCCGCCGGCGCAACUAUUCCAGACGAAAAUUCCCCAUCUCUCAUCGCCACCGUCACCUCCUUCUUCUCCUCCAGCUCCACGGCCACCUUCUACGACUCCUCUGGCAAAAUCAACCUCUCUUCUCUCCGCCGCCUCCUCCCUCCCUCCACAACCCUCCUCGGAUGGUUUUCCGGACGCCGGAAAACCCCUCUUCGCCCUUCCAUGCGGGAAUCCUCCGUCACCUAUUCUCUCUCCUCAAACACGGAACUAUCAUUCCAAGUCCAAAAUUCCCCAAAUUCCAUGACUCUCUCUCCUUGUCUCUUCCUACUCCUCACGACCCCCUUUCAGAAAGACGACCAAUUAUUAAUCCACACUCACGAUUACCGCCUUUUUCAGUUCCGAUUACCCACAGAUUGUUUCGACCCCAAAACCCUAGAUAUUAUCAACAUUGGUCCUGCUUUCCGAGGCCAUUAUGGUAAUUUCUCCCCCAACUCUCCAUUUCCAGCAUUGCCUUGUGAAUUAAGGGCUUUGAAUUCGAUGG